AGAAGAGUCUGCAUGAUUUUCUUUUCAGUAGAUGAUAUUUACACAUUCCCUGGUUUGGAGCAAUUUUGUGUCAUUGCUUUACUUUUAUAUCGUUUGGUUUUAGAGACAAAACUCUGAUGGCGGUUCUGACUGAGACCAUGCUGAUCGUCAACAUGUUACUGAGUGUCUUUUUUCUUCCUGGUGAUUUGGCUGAUUACUGUUAUGGUCAAACACCAGCUCUCAACAUCACUACACCAAAUAACAUGGAAGCUCUGACUGGAACUUGUUUGCAAAUCCCAUGUAGCUAUGAGACAGAGAAUGUUAAGUAUAACAGCAAUAAAACUAUCUAUGGAGUUUGGAUGAAAGGUGACACACAACACUAUUUAUAUCCAGAGGUCGUUAUUUUCAACAGC
This is a non-coding RNA of Poecilia reticulata (guppy), 392 nucleotides long. NCBI's taxonomy places the organism in Eukaryota, Metazoa, Chordata, Actinopteri, Cyprinodontiformes, Poeciliidae. The record is from RefSeq and is a predicted model, not a curated record.